UUUGGUAAUUAAUACCUCAUAGUAUUUUCGGGAUCGCAUGAUUUGAUUAUUAAAGUUCCAACGGUAAAAGAUGAGUAUGCGUCCCAUUAGCUAGAUGGUAAGGUAACGGCUUACCAUGGCAAUGAUGGGUAGGGGUCCUGAGAGGGAGAUCCCCCACACUGGUACUGAGACACGGACCAGACUCCUACGGGAGGCAGCAGUGAGGAAUAUUGGACAAUGGGCGCAAGCCUGAUCCAGCCAUGCCGCGUGCAGGAAUAAGGUCCUAUGGAUUGUAAACUGCUUUUAUACAGGAAGAAACACACCCUCGUGAGGGUACUUGACGGUACUGUAUGAAUAAGGACCGGCUAACUCCGUG
RNAcentral lists this ribosomal RNA (355 nucleotides) under uncultured bacterium. Its description in RNAcentral is "bacterial SSU rRNA". It matches the Rfam family "Bacterial small subunit ribosomal RNA", at positions 155 to 507 of the family's 1533-position model. The record is from RNAcentral.